GCCGGUGUGGCCGAGUGAUAAGGCACAACCAUCAUAUCCAAUCCCUCAACCUAUUGUCAAUAGGUUUCUCAUGUGUCACAAACACAUUUCGGGAUCGCGAGAAAUGGAUGAGAUCGCAGGUUCGAUUCCUGCCGCUGGCA
RNAcentral lists this transfer RNA (140 nucleotides) under Zymoseptoria tritici IPO323. RNAcentral's name for it is "Zymoseptoria tritici tRNA-Met for anticodon CAU". It matches the Rfam family "tRNA". From Rfam's summary of the family: Transfer RNA (tRNA) molecules are approximately 80 nucleotides in length. RNAcentral also lists the same sequence under 1 other name. Lineage: Eukaryota; Fungi; Ascomycota; Dothideomycetes; Mycosphaerellales; Mycosphaerellaceae. The record is from Rfam by way of RNAcentral.